RNAcentral lists this ribosomal RNA (777 nucleotides) under uncultured Neocallimastigales. RNAcentral's name for it is "partial large subunit ribosomal RNA". It matches the Rfam family "Eukaryotic large subunit ribosomal RNA", at positions 19 to 616 of the family's 3401-position model. Lineage: Eukaryota; Fungi; Neocallimastigomycota; Neocallimastigomycetes; Neocallimastigales. The record is from RNAcentral.
CGAGCACGCGCGUGUGGCAUAUCAAUAAGCGGAGGAAAAGAAACUAACAAGGAUUCCCUUAGUAACGGCGAGUGAAGCGGGAAGAGCUCAAAUUUGAAAUCUUCAAGGUUCUGACCUUGACGAAUUGUAGUUUAUAAGAAGUGUUUUCUGUUAGGUGGAGUGGCAAAAGUUCUUUGGAAUAGGACAUCAUAGAGGGUGAGAAUCCCGUAUUUGGUCAUUCCUCCUAGCGUUGUGAUACACUUUCAACGAGUCGGAUUGUUUGGGAAUGCAGUCCAAAAUGGGUGGUAAAUUUCAUCUAAAGCUAAAUAUUGGCGAGAGACCGAUAGCGAACAAGUACCGUGAGGGAAAGAUGAAAAGAACUUUGAAAAGAGAGUUAAACAGUACGUGAAAUUGUCAAAAGGGAAGCGUUUGACACCAGUGUUGUUUUUCCGAAAAUCAAUUAAGAAUGUUUUGUUUUUGAGGAGUUAUGACUUCAUCGGCUUGCUCCUUUCUUUAUGAAACUUUCUUAAUGCACUUUUCGGUUAACAAGUCAACAUCAAUUUCUUUUGUUGUAAAAGGGUAAGAGGAAGGUGGCUUUCUUUUCGGAGAAAGUGUUUAUAGCCUUGUGCCUCUGCAAUCGGAGAGAUUGAGGUCUGCAGUGUAGAUCCUUCGGGGUUAGAUACGUUUGUGCUAAGUUAUAGCUUUUCAUAGACAACUUGUUGACUAUGUUUAGUCUUGUAGCUUACUCGCUGACGCUAUCUUACCUACGCUUAGGAUGUUGAGCGCAUGUCUCUCUCU